Molecule: small RNA, 94 nt
Filed under: Flavobacterium noncentrifugens
Lineage: Bacteria; Pseudomonadati; Bacteroidota; Flavobacteriia; Flavobacteriales; Flavobacteriaceae
Description: Flavo-1 RNA
Rfam family: Flavo-1 RNA
Source: Rfam by way of RNAcentral
GUGUAGUUUCGCGUUAGCGAUUGAAGCGGAAAUCCUUUUUGCGGCGCAGUGCAACGGAGCCGUAAAAAGAUUGCAGCGAAAAGCGCGGCCACAG